UACGUAGGGUGCGAGCGUUGUCCGGAAUUACUGGGCGUAAAGAGCUCGUAGGUGGUUUGUCGCGUUGUUCGUGAAAUCUCACGGCUUAACUGUGAGCGUGCGGGCGAUACGGGCAGACUGGAGUACUGCAGGGGAGACUGGAAUUCCUGGUGUAGCGGUGGAAUGCGCAGAUAUCAGGAGGAACACCGGUGGCGAAGGCGGGUCUCUGGGCAGUAACUGACGCUGAGGAGCGAAAGCGUGGGGAGCAAACGGG
RNAcentral lists this ribosomal RNA (253 nucleotides) under uncultured bacterium. Its description in RNAcentral is "partial 16S ribosomal RNA". It matches the Rfam family "Bacterial small subunit ribosomal RNA", at positions 524 to 776 of the family's 1533-position model. The record is from RNAcentral.